UAAAGAGGAACAAAGGCUAAGUUCGCAACGUCCGUUGCAACACCUUUGUGACCCGCGUCCUGCGGG
This 66-nucleotide small RNA is filed under the name Lentibacillus persicus. RNAcentral's name for it is "Bacillaceae-1 RNA". It matches the Rfam family "Bacillaceae-1 RNA". Lineage: Bacteria; Bacillati; Bacillota; Bacilli; Caryophanales; Bacillaceae. The record is from RNAcentral.